CUUUUAUAUUAUUGUCUACAGUUUUAAAAUUGUAAUGUCUCUUACAUGAUACAUGAGAUGUACAUUCAUUGUCUUAUUUAGUCUGUAGGAGAAAAAGCCCAGAGCUGCAGCGUCUAAGAAGAGUUCCCUAAAUGGCCGGUAAAAGGUUUUAGUGAAAAAAGCUUUGCAGUGGGACUUAAACUUGAUACUGAUCACUGUUGAGAAAAUCGUUAAUGACCAGGAAAGGCAAAAGUAUUCCUUUGCUUCAAAAAGCAGCUGAGGUCAACUAUCAUAUGUAACACAAGUGAACCAGUCACAUUUCUUCCAUUCCUGGCCUUGUCUGUGAUAUUUUGUACCCC
RNAcentral lists this long non-coding RNA (338 nucleotides) under Struthio camelus australis. RNAcentral's name for it is "lncRNA (ENSSCUG00000015889.1)". Lineage: Eukaryota; Metazoa; Chordata; Aves; Struthioniformes; Struthionidae. The record is from RNAcentral.